UGAAAAGUCCUCGACCAUUUGCCCUUGGCUCCAACCAAUUUUCCGUCACUCGGACCAUCUCGUACCUUGAAGAUGCAAUACAAAAUCAUAAGUUGAAGCGGGCUGACAGAUAAUCUAGAACUACGCCUCCUUUGAGCGGCCCGGACAAGCCUUUAGGGUUACCACUCCAUCGAGGCUUAAACGAGGAUGACGCGGAGGUGUUGCCCAUUGAGGGGUGUUGGUGACAAGGAGUCGCUGAACGAAACGCUAAACCAAAUGAAAAAAAAUAUUAAAAAAGCCAACGAUCCUUUAUAUAUCCGAGCCACAACCAGGCAGAGUCCUUUCCGUCUACAUUCGGUGUGAAGAGCAAAACGCGAAUUUCAACACAUUUUACUGCUUAGCAACCAUCAAACGACACGCGAUAGGUUCCGGCGGUCAUCAACUAUUCAAAAUGGUAUACCUGUCAAUGUAAAAGACAGGCUAAAGACCCAACCCCAACAAUGUCAACCUGAAGAAAGAAAAAGGCCUAUUUCCAUGUCGUUCACGUUUGAAGGUCACGAGAAACAUUACGUAAAACUGGCAUGCGGUGGUGAAGAGGUUGGGUGAGAAUGAUACGUGUUGCUUCAUCAUCAAGCAGGUAGAAUAGCCACAAGGAUAAGCUAUUUGGUAUUC
Molecule: long non-coding RNA, 651 nt
Filed under: Daphnia pulicaria
Lineage: Eukaryota; Metazoa; Arthropoda; Branchiopoda; Diplostraca; Daphniidae
Description: uncharacterized LOC124343883, transcript variant X2
Source: RNAcentral